UUGCAUUUGGACUGCAUGAUAUGGUGAUAGCAUCAAGGCCUCUCCCAUGCUCAUUGUAGGAUUUGCAUACUAUGUGAUAAGCCUUGUUAUUGGCUAAUGCAAAGAGAUAAAAAAGCUGCAAUCAUUCGUUAGGGGCAAUUACUACAUCAAAUUGGCAAUGGUGGAAAAUAGUUUGGGCUGCAUCAGAAGAUUUGAUUUUGUGUUUUUGGAAAUAUUUUGACAUAGGAUUUUGGUAAAUGAUUUAUGGAUUAAAUGUUUAGCAUCAAAAUAUUUGGUGUUGUGUUUUUGCAAAUAUUUUGACAUAUGAUUUUAGUAAAUGACUUGUUGGUUAGAUGUUUAACAUCAAAAUAUUUGGUUGUAAUUUUGAAAAUAUUUUGACAUAAGAUUUGGUAAUGUAUUUAUGGGUUUGAUGUUAGUAGUUUGUAAGUACUUUGGUAUGCAUGUUUUAAAUUGUUAGAGAAUUGUAAUUAUGUUUA
Molecule: non-coding RNA, 476 nt
Organism: Camellia sinensis
Lineage: Eukaryota; Viridiplantae; Streptophyta; Magnoliopsida; Ericales; Theaceae
Source: RefSeq, a predicted model, not a curated record